Molecule: long non-coding RNA, 369 nt
Filed under: Androctonus crassicauda
Lineage: Eukaryota; Metazoa; Arthropoda; Arachnida; Scorpiones; Buthidae
Source: RNAcentral
AUAGAUACCAAAGCAUCAAACAGCUGGUUAGUCGGGAGAUCUAUUUACAGAAACAGAAGGGUUUAUAAUAAUGAUACAGGACCAGGUAAUAAACACUAAAAACUACAGAAAAUACAUAAUGAAGGAGAGCACAUUGACAAAUGACACUUGUAGGAAAUGUCACAUAUCAUCCAAAAGGAUUCAACAUGUUAUGUCGGAUUGCAAGCUGCUUGCACAAACAGAUUAUCUGCACAGACACAACCAAAUAGUAAACAUAAUACACCAAAAGCUUGUAACCAAACACAAAUUAAUAAACACACUCAUACUAUAUUACAAAUACAUACCAGAUACAAUCUUAGAAAACUCAACACGCAAGAUGUAUUAUGACAG